CGCGAUCGUUGCCACAGGCAGCCAAGACUGUGACCUUGGUGCAUUGUCCUUUCUCCAGGUCUUCUACUUUGAAUAUAUGAUACUGAAAAUAUGCUAAAUACGGCCUUGGGCAAAUUGGAAACAGAGUUCAAAAGAGAAGCUCUCCGUGUUUUAUGCAAUGGAAAAAUUGCUGUUGAUGUCUUAGCCUUGAAAGGCACUGACUGUAUCUAAAAACAGAAAAAAGCUCUCCUUUGCCCCGCCUCCAUGGGUUGUUUGGAAACAGCUGUUUGACGCCACGUUUGUACUUCACUCUUAUCAGCCCAUUUGGUAAGAUCAGAAUGUGCCUGAAUAACUUUGAAGGUUAAACUAUGUUGACUAAAUUUUCUGCUGCUGCCUUUCCAGAAGGCCAGCUAAUACCAUCACUGACUGUCAGCAGCAGCCGGGCCCUGCACUCUGCGGGAUCAGGACACACAGUGGAAAUUUCCCUGGCUUCCAUACGUCAUCCCCAUGUGGUGCGUGUCCCACUGAGAAGCGCAGCACGUGGCCUCCUGAUGGGUCCGGCAGGGAUGGCCACUAACAUACGGGAUUGUCCCUCCCAUAGGAAGUACCCGGUUUGCAUUGGCUUGCCGUGAUUUGGGGACACAGUGUUUUAUUCUGAUUUUUUUUCUCAAACAUGGGUGUCCUGUUUGUGGCACCUAUAGCAUUUGUCUGAGAAAACUGGACAUUAUGAUCUGCAUUCUCAAUCUCCUAAUUGUAUUAACAUUCUACACAAAUGAGGCUUCACUGUCUUGACUGAGUCUUGAGUCGUGUGAAUUCUUUCCAGUCCUAUUUACAGUGCAAGCUCAUAUGCUCCAUAACACAAACAGAGAGCUUUGAUUUUGAUAAUUUAUUUAAUCAUCACUCUUCUGACAGAAUCCAACUA
Molecule: long non-coding RNA, 901 nt
Organism: Choloepus didactylus (southern two-toed sloth)
Lineage: Eukaryota; Metazoa; Chordata; Mammalia; Pilosa; Megalonychidae
Exons: 3
Source: RefSeq, a predicted model, not a curated record